CCUACGGGAGGCAGCAGUGGGGAAUCUUGCACAAUGGAGGAAACUCUGAUGCAGCGAUGCCGCGUGAGUGAAGAAGGCCUUUGGGUUGUAAAGCUCUUUUGUAGGGGAAGAUAAUGACUGUACCCUAAGAAUAAGGUCCGGCUAACUUCGUGCCAGCAGCCGCGGUAAUACGAAGGGACCUAGCGUAGUUCGGAAUUACUGGGCGUAAAGCGCGCGUAGGCCGUUGAGUUAGUUAAUUGUGAAAUCCCAAAGCUUAACUUUGGAACUGCAAUUAAAACUGCUCGACUAGAGUUUGAUAGAGGAAAGCGGAAUACAUAGUGUAGAGGUGAAAUUCGUAGAUAUUAUGUAGAACACCAGUUGCGAAGGCGGCUUUCUGGAUCAACACUGACGCUGAGGCGCGAAAGUAUGGGUAGCAAAGAGGAUUAGAUACCCUCGUAGUCCAUACCAUAAACGAUGAUUGCUAGAUGUUGGAAAUUUAUUUCAGUAUCGCAGCUAACGCAUUAAGCAAUCCGCCUGGGGAGUACGACCGCAAGGUUUAAAACCNCGAAAGGAAUUGAACGGUNUGAGAGUGCGAGACGACGACGAGGAGAGG
This 592-nucleotide ribosomal RNA is filed under the name uncultured bacterium. RNAcentral describes it as "bacterial SSU rRNA". It matches the Rfam family "Bacterial small subunit ribosomal RNA", at positions 338 to 961 of the family's 1533-position model. The record is from RNAcentral.